RNAcentral lists this ribosomal RNA (439 nucleotides) under uncultured bacterium. Its description in RNAcentral is "partial 16S ribosomal RNA". It matches the Rfam family "Bacterial small subunit ribosomal RNA", at positions 339 to 795 of the family's 1533-position model. The record is from RNAcentral.
CUACGAGCUGCUCCAGUGAGGAAUAUUGCACAAUGGGGGGAACCCUGAUGCAGCAACGCCGCGUGGAGGAUGACGCAUUUCGGUGUGUAAACUCCUUUUAUAUGUCAAGAAAAUGACGGUAGCAUAUGAAUAAGCACCGGCUAACUCCGUGCCAGCAGCCGCGGUAAUACGGAGGGUGCAAGCGUUACUCGGAAUCACUGGGCGUAAAGGACGCGUAGGCGGGUUGGAAAGUCAGGUGUGAAAUCCUACAGCUUAACUGUAGAACUGCACUUGAAACUUCUAAUCUAGAGUAUGGGAGGGGGAGAUGGAAUUAGUGGUGUAGGGGUAAAAUCCGUAGAUAUCACUAGGAAUACCUAAAGCGAAGGCGAUCUCCUGGAACAUUACUGACGCUAAGGCGUGAAAGCGUGGGGAGCAGACAGGAUUAGAUACCCCCGUAGUC